UAGGGAAUCUUCCGCAAUGGGCGAAAGCCUGACGGAGCAACGCCGCGUGAGUGAUGAAGGUCUUCGGAUCGUAAAACUCUGUUAUUAGGGAAGAACAAAUGUGUAAGUAACUAUGCACAUCUUGACGGUACCUAAUCAGAAAGCCACGGCUAACUACGUGCCAGCAGCCGCGGUAAUACGUAGGUGGCAAGCGUUAUCCGGAAUUAUUGGGCGUAAAGCGCGCGUAGGCGGAAAUGCAAGUCAGGUGUAAAAGGCAGUAGCUUAACUACUGUAAGCAUUUGAAACUGCAUAUCUUGAGAAGAGUAGAGGUAAGUGGAAUUUUUAGUGUAGCGGUGAAAUGCGUAGAUAUAUGGAGGAACACCGGUGGCGAAAGCGGCUCUCUGGUCUGUAACUGACGCUGAGGCUCGAAAGCGUGGGGAGCGAACAGG
Molecule: ribosomal RNA, 428 nt
Filed under: Bacteroidota bacterium
Lineage: Bacteria; Pseudomonadati; Bacteroidota
Description: Bacteroidetes bacterium partial 16S ribosomal RNA
Rfam family: Bacterial small subunit ribosomal RNA
Source: RNAcentral